GUCGAUGUCAUUGAUGAGGAAAUUAAAGGGUAUUGGUCCCAGCACUGACCCCUGAGGGACUCCACUCAUCAUCAGUCUCCAUGCAGACACUGAGCCAUUGACCACCACUCUCUGGACUUGAUCCUGCAGCCAGUUCUUUGUCCAGUGUACAGUCCGCCCAUCAAAUCCAUUUUUCCAAUGUAGAGAGAACCAUGUUUCUGCAAAGCGGUUUGUGCUGCAGAGCCAGGAUCCAGAAACUCAGCAGCUCAUUGCUCAGUGAUCUUUGGAGUCCCAACUCGUAGCUCAAGCUCUUGAAAAUACAGACUCUGUGAAAUCCAUUUCUCAGUUGAAGUUUGUAUUUCAAACAUUUGUAGAGUUCACGUCCGUUUUAAUAUCUUGUAAUAAAUGAUUAUCAGUGCCUUAAUACAUCACAUGCUAAUGCCAACAAAGAGCGCUCAUUAAUGUUCCUUAAUGAGGUUCAGAAAACAUGGAGGGGUGGUUUGCAGUUAGUGUAUGGAUGUUUAAAAGGAGCAGGAGCUCUGUAUGAAUAUCAAAGACAGCCUGAGGGAAAUAAAAGAAUUGCAAGCUGUAAACAG
Gallus gallus (chicken) is the source of this 575-nucleotide long non-coding RNA. RefSeq lists it as uncharacterized. The record is from RefSeq and is a predicted model, not a curated record. The transcript is spliced from 2 exons. Lineage: Eukaryota; Metazoa; Chordata; Aves; Galliformes; Phasianidae.